Molecule: ribosomal RNA, 137 nt
Filed under: uncultured eukaryote
Lineage: Eukaryota
Description: partial 18S ribosomal RNA
Rfam family: Eukaryotic small subunit ribosomal RNA
Source: RNAcentral
UGGUGGAGUGAUUUGUCUGGUUAAUUCCGAUAACGAACGAGACUCUAGCCUGCUAAAUAGUCACCAUGUAAUAAUUGCAUGGACUGACUUCUUAGAGGGAUUCGCUACUUUUAGUGACACGAAAUUGAGCAAUAACA